RNAcentral lists this long non-coding RNA (1009 nucleotides) under Carica papaya (papaya). RNAcentral describes it as "long non-coding RNA (CPAP_LNC000996)". Lineage: Eukaryota; Viridiplantae; Streptophyta; Magnoliopsida; Brassicales; Caricaceae. The record is from RNAcentral.
AUACUUACCAAGGUCCCUCAACGGAUUGUACUUUACUUGAUCAACAGCCUAGAAUCACCAUACAUAAGUAUAAUCAGAUUUAAUUGACGAAAAUGAAUUAAACCCUAGGAGAACUACUAACAGUGGCCGUUUUAGGUAAUUACCAACACAAGCUCAUUCUUUGGUAUUUGGCGAACCACCACUUCAACUCCCGGCAUAGGUGUGGGCGAUUUACUUUCCAAAAUGUAUACACAUAUAUACGUAUUAGCAUCCAUACUCACACAAAACUCCACAAUGAAAAGGAAAUGAAAGGUCACCUGAUUCAGUUUGGUGCUAUGAAGGCCAAGUAGUUUCACUUUUUCCCGAUUCUCACUACCAAAGACGAAUUUUGAUUUUUUUGAGAAGACCCUCACUUACCGUGGUGAGGGGAGUGCUUUAGCUCCUGAAACCUGCACACACACACACACACACAUAAAUACCCAUUUCGUCGAGAACACACAUCGAAAAAGGAAAAUAAACACAUCUGGUUUGGGUGUGGUGCUCUAAAAACUCGAACAACAUCGAGUUUGACUCCUAGCUUCCAGAGGAUGGUCUCUUUGGUUCCUCGAGAGCACUCCUCAUUUGCUUCGAAGAUUAGGUGAUUGGUUUCACACCUACAUGCUGGUUACUAUGAAAUAGGAAAAAGGAAUCUCAUAAAAGAAAUGGGAAGAAUGAAACUUACAAGUUUCUGAGCAACGACGUCAUGUGUAACAAUAUGUUUCUCAACCGCAAUUCCCUUCUCUUCCCUUCUCUUCAGCUUUUUGCCUCUACGACACCUCCUCUUUUCCCUUUUUGGCUGCGUUUCCUUCUCCCAUUCUAGUUUCCUUGCUCGUCUCUCUAUCACGCGAUGUUCUCUUCUCCUUCUCAGCCUGACUCCUCCUCAAUCUAAGCAUCUUCUCUCACCCAAUCGACUCCUCUCCUCCUCUUUUAUUUUGGCUCUCAUUUGCUGAAUGAAGGAGAAAACCCUAAUUAUUUCUUUAAAUACCCAUAU